UGGGGGAUAUUGCACAAUGGGGGAAACCCUGAUGCAGCGACGCCGCGUGAGUGAAGAAGUAUUUCGGUACGUAAAGCUCUAUCAGCAGGGAAGAAUAAUGACGGUACCUGACUAAGAAGCCCCGGCUAACUACGUGCCAGCAGCCGCGGUAAUACGUAGGGGGCAAGCGUUAUCCGGAUUUACUGGGUGUAAAGGGAGCGUAGACGGCUGUGCAAGUCUGAAGUGAAAUGCCGGGGCUCAACCCCGGAACUGCUUUGGAAACUGUACAGCUAGAGUGCAGGAGGGGUGAGCGGAAUUCCUAGU
This 303-nucleotide ribosomal RNA is filed under the name uncultured bacterium. Its description in RNAcentral is "bacterial SSU rRNA". It matches the Rfam family "Bacterial small subunit ribosomal RNA", at positions 355 to 674 of the family's 1533-position model. The record is from RNAcentral.